This 68-nucleotide transfer RNA is filed under the name Ips sexdentatus. Its description in RNAcentral is "tRNA-Leu". The record is from RNAcentral. Lineage: Eukaryota; Metazoa; Arthropoda; Insecta; Coleoptera; Curculionidae.
GUUAUAUUGGCAGAGUUAGUGCUAUAAAUUUAGAAUUUAUGAACAUGAGUUUUUACUUAUAUAUAAUA